CUCUAUCCUGAUUUCCAUCAAAUCAAUUUUUGCAUUUCAAGGAAAAUCAAAUAGAGAUAACCUAAACACCCAUCAUCGGACUGCUCCCAGGCACCAGCCAGCGUUUCCGGCCGGGAGUCUGACGUGACCUCAGUCCAUUCCGACGAAGCUGUCUGACGUGACCUCCAUCCAUUCCGACGAAGCUUUCGACGAUGCUCCGACUCCAUCCUGCAGCCACCGCAAUCGCUUCCGAUUCCGACGCAGGCAGCCUCAAACGCGGCCAUGAGAUUCUUCAUAACAUGUUUCUGUUGCACAAGUCGUAGCGGCUAUGAGAUUCUUCAUAAUCUCUUUAUGUUUCAGCACCUAAUUGGAAGCGUUUGAGGAGCAGUUUUGGUGAUGACCCCGACGUUAAACAAGGCAAACCAUCACCGGAUGUGUUUCUUGUUGCGGCGAAGAGAUUUGAGAGGAAUAACAAAGUGUUUCGAAGCGAGGAAAUACAAAUGGAGAAACUGUUUGAAGAGUCGAAAAUUAUGGCGUGGAGAUGGCUCAAACAUAAAUCAAAUUAUAUUGCAGAUGAUAUAGCCGCGUCGUGCAAAAAUCCUAAGGCGUGUAUUGGCAUAAUUGACGGAUGAGUAAUCUGGUGCGUACAGAGCUGGAGUGGUCCCCGUCAUCGGGCGUCGAAUUCUGAUUUGCAGCCGUACGUCUUUCUUAAAUAGACUAAAUUCUGUCAAGAUAGAUUUUUUCAGCAGACUGAAUUCUGUCAAGAUAAAUUUUUUCAGCAGACUGAAUUCUGUCAAGACAGCUCUUGGCGCUGGUAGUGGUAACCGACAUAACGCAUUGCUUGGCUUCAGUUGGCGAGGGUGGACCGGUAGAUCCAAGUAACAUACUUGUUUUUGAAGAUGCACCAUCUGGAUUUCUUGCAGCUAAGAAUGCUGGGAUGUAUGUGACUUGAAGCAGCUUGUUUUAUUUUUUACGUGUUCACUAGGCUCUAACCGUUCUCUUUCCCUCUCGCGUAUAAUAGUAUCUGUCACCUACAGUAUGAGACAUGAAGAAUUCUGAAAUAUGAAUAUUAGAACAUUUUUCUGCUUCUUUUAGAACAGUUGUUUUAUGGUUGUGGAGCUAAGGACUGCACAAAAGCUUUUUCAUGCUGCUGAAUUUGUGUACAAACAUCUGAAGCUGAAACACGCAUCGCUUGCUGUUGAACAAACUUCAAAAUUGCGCAACGAUCUCUAUACUCAAAAUUACAUGAAAUCCAUAUGCUUCUGGUGGAAAGCCUGUUAUGCUGCAAUCUCAAGUGAACUACUAUACGCAUUGCUUGCCGUAAGUAUGAGAACAAUUUGUUGUUAGAAACUCACCCAUCUCAUAUGAUAGAGUCGAUGUUGGCCAGGGAUAACAUGAACUAACCAAUGUUUACAUUUCAGAUGCAAUUUUGUAUUACAUUUAUCAAACAUAUGAUUUGCAGGAUGUGGUAGAUGUUAUAUAAAAUAUAUCCAAGGAAAAUCAUCGUAAAACGAUUAGCAUACUUUCUAUGUCCGGUUGUGUAUCAAACAUUGUUGAUCUUACUCCGAACAAUCCCAAACACUGCAAGGGCAAAUUUGAGAUGCAUUUUAUGUCUAUAAAAUGUCUCUCUGAUGAUGAUGGUCGUCAAUGUCGUGGAAAGGUAACGUGUAUCGUUACAUGCUGAGAUGAAAAGGAAAUUCUAUUAGCAAAUACUUCUGUCAUAGUGGCUGGCUAUGCUAAAGUAAGCAGAUCAUAAAUUCUUAUGUUUUAUAUGUUAGAACAUACAUAAUUUUAAUCAAAAUGGCUACACUAUUUUGUUCUAUUUAAGUGAGUAACUUUGAAUUAACAAUCUUUAUCUUUUGGUUAAUUAGAUUAACUGCAACUUUAUUCAACACAGACACCGAUAUUAACAGGUGCAAGAAUUUCAGCAUUUGCUGCUGUUGCGACUCGAAAUGAUGACAAAAGUCCCAUAGAAGCCAUCCUUCUUAAAGUAAGCAAAUCAUAUUUCUUCUAUUAUUUUCUUUACUAUUGACAGAAAUUCACGUGAGACUUAUAUUCAAAAUGGUAUAGAAUCUCCAUAACUUUGAAUUAACAAUCUUUAUCUUUUGGUUCAUUAAAUGAUUAAGGCCAAUUUUUAUCCAACUAAAGAAUACUCUACAAAAGGUUAUCAAAGAAGAACAAACAUUUACAUCUGGUUUUUUGCAACAGCUUAAUCAGUGGGAGAUGGGAACAUAGUAAAAUCCCACAUCAGCAACUAGUCUAGUGCUUCAAAUGCGCAGGACUUGAAGUCUCCUUCUGUAGUUGACAAUUGUUUGGUCAUGAAGUCUCCUUCUGCUGGGGACAUUUGAAAUUAAGUUUCUAAUCUUCUAUAAAACUGAAAAGUUCUUGUUUAAUUCUGGCGCCGAGAUUGUGUGUACACUCGGGAAAUGAUAUUCCAUAAACAUUAUUGUUUCCUCUUCUUUUCAGUUGAGUUUUUUAAGAAUGGAUGAUUAGAAAUUUAAUUGUCAUGC
Long non-coding RNA from Vicia villosa (hairy vetch), 2489 nucleotides. RefSeq lists it as uncharacterized. NCBI's taxonomy places the organism in Eukaryota, Viridiplantae, Streptophyta, Magnoliopsida, Fabales, Fabaceae. The transcript has 5 exons. The record is from RefSeq and is a predicted model, not a curated record.